RNAcentral lists this non-coding RNA (158 nucleotides) under Bacillus thermotolerans. Its description in RNAcentral is "Quasibacillus thermotolerans SAM riboswitch aptamer (S box leader)". It matches the Rfam family "SAM riboswitch aptamer (S box leader)". Rfam says of the family: The SAM riboswitch is found upstream of a number of genes which code for proteins involved in methionine or cysteine biosynthesis in Gram-positive bacteria. The SAM riboswitch acts at the level of transcription termination control. The record is from Rfam by way of RNAcentral. RNAcentral also lists the same sequence under 1 other name. Lineage: Bacteria; Bacillati; Bacillota; Bacilli; Caryophanales; Bacillaceae.
CUCUUAUCCUGAGCUGGCGGAGGGACAGGCCCAAUGAAGCCCGGCAACCUGCUUGAUCCUAAGGAAGCGGAGGUUGUUUAUCAAUCGCUUCUAUAUCUACAUAUUUUCAAGACAAAGGUGCCAACCUGCAGCAAGGGAAAAACCUUGAACGAUAAGAG